AUGGCCGCAAACUCACUCUUGGUAACUUUAUGGUUUGGUAUUAUGGCCAUGCUGCUCAUUAAGAUGUUUGUGCUAUGGCACUCAAGGGCCGAAUUCAACGGCGCAACUGGUGACUGCGUGCCCUUUGAGGAAUGUGAGGGUCGCAGAUUUCUGCAGUUCGUUCAUUCAGGCACAUCAAGAUCGCUGGCUAACAAGUUUACAAUACUGCUAGGGGCAUCAUCCACCCAAAAGCAAUCCUGGGAAUCGUUUCUCACCCCGACCUGGGCAAGUUCAUGCCCUACGGUGUUACGUACACGACUACUAAAAGAGAACUUGAAAGACUCGAAAUUUGAAACACAUAAGCUCCAAGCUUCCUUCACCAGUACGCCGAUCGUCGCCAUAUCAAACCCCUUGCUGUUCAGCGCUUACACAAGAUUGGUAGCAUCAGGCUCUCGAAAACAAUUUGGUUUGCGCCAAGUCUGA
RNAcentral lists this ribosomal RNA (462 nucleotides) under Triticum aestivum (bread wheat). RNAcentral describes it as "partial small subunit ribosomal RNA". Lineage: Eukaryota; Viridiplantae; Streptophyta; Magnoliopsida; Poales; Poaceae. The record is from RNAcentral.